UACGAAGGGGGCGAGCGUUGUUCGGAGUUACUGGGCGUAAAGGGCGCGUAGGCGGCGAUCCAAGUUAGGCGUGAAAGCCCCGGGCUUAACCUGGGAAUUGCGCUUAAGACUGGACUGCUUGAGUGCGGGAGAGGUGAGUGGAAUUCCCAGUGUAGAGGUGAAAUUCGUAGAUAUUGGGAAGAACACCAGUGGCGAAGGCGAAUCUCUGGACAGUUCCUGACGCUGAGGCGCGAAAGCCAGGGGAGCAAACGGG
Molecule: ribosomal RNA, 253 nt
Filed under: uncultured bacterium
Lineage: Bacteria
Description: partial 16S ribosomal RNA
Rfam family: Bacterial small subunit ribosomal RNA
Source: RNAcentral